RNAcentral lists this ribosomal RNA (450 nucleotides) under uncultured Planctomyces sp. Its description in RNAcentral is "bacterial SSU rRNA". It matches the Rfam family "Bacterial small subunit ribosomal RNA", at positions 335 to 796 of the family's 1533-position model. The record is from RNAcentral. Lineage: Bacteria; Pseudomonadati; Planctomycetota; Planctomycetia; Planctomycetales; Planctomycetaceae.
GUCCUACGGGGGGCUGCAGUCGAGAAUCUUCGGCAAUGGGCGCAAGCCUGACCGAGCGACGCCGCGUGCGGGAUGAAGGCCCUUGGGUUGUAAACCGCUGUCGGGGGGGAUGAAAGCGUAAGCUUGACAGAGCCCCGGAGGAAGCACGGGCUAAGUUCGUGCCAGCAGCCGCGGUAAUACGAACUGUGCGAACGGUAUUCGGAAUCACUGGGCUUACAGGGUGCGUAGGCGGCGAUGCAAGUCAGGUGUGAAAGCCCACGGCUCAACCGUGGAACUGCGCUUGAAACUGCAUUGCUCGAGUGAGCUAGAGGUAGACGGAACUUCCGGUGGAGCGGUGAAAUGUGUUGAUAUCGGAAGGAACACCAGAGGCGAAAGCGGUCUACUGGAGCUUGUCUGACGCUGAGGCACGAAAGCCAGGGGAGCAAACGGGAUUAGAUACCCGUGUAGUCC